Molecule: ribosomal RNA, 710 nt
Filed under: Pontibacillus chungwhensis
Lineage: Bacteria; Bacillati; Bacillota; Bacilli; Caryophanales; Bacillaceae
Description: bacterial SSU rRNA
Rfam family: Bacterial small subunit ribosomal RNA
Source: RNAcentral
GAAACCGGAGCUAAUACCGAAUAACCCAGUGAACUGCAUGGUUCACUGGUAAAAGGCGGUUUCGGCCGUCACUCAUGGAUGGGCCCGCGGCGCAUUAGCUAGUUGGUAAGGUAACGGCUUACCAAGGCAACGAUGCGUAGCCGACCUGAGAGGGUGAUCGGCCACACUGGGACUGAGACACGGCCCAGACUCCUACGGGAGGCAGCAGUAGGGAAUCUUCCGCAAUGGACGAAAGUCUGACGGAGCAACGCCGCGUGAACGAUGAAGGUCUUCGGAUCGUAAAGUUCUGUUGUUAGGGAAGAACAAGUACCAGAGGAAAUGCUGGUACCUUGACGGUACCUAACCAGAAAGCCACGGCUAACUACGUGCCAGCAGCCGCGGUAAUACGUAGGUGGCAAGCGUUGUCCGGAAUUAUUGGGCGUAAAGCGCGCGCAGGCGGUUUCUUAAGUCUGAUGUGAAAGCCCACAGCUCAACUGUGGAGGGCCAUUGGAAACUGGGGAACUUGAGUACAGAAGAGGAGAGUGGAAUUCCACGUGUAGCGGUGAAAUGCGUAGAUAUGUGGAGGAACACCAGUGGCGAAGGCGACUCUCUGGUCUGUAACUGACGCUGAGGCGCGAAAGCGUGGGUAGCAAACAGGAUUAGAUACCCUGGUAGUCCACGCCGUAAACGUUGAGUGCUAGGUGUUAGGGGGUUUCCGCCCCUUUAGUGCU